CGCGGAGCGAGAGCCCGCGGAGCUGCUCCGAGACCCGCGGGAGGGCACCUCCGGUCACCCGAGCCGCAAAUCCCCGCCGUCCGAAGGGGGUGUCGCCCCGGGCUGUCGGCCCAGCGUGGCUUAGGCCAGGUACAACCGGCAGCGCCCGCCAAGCCCUGGGCUAGGGACGCCUGCGGGAGUUCACGGGGAGGCGCCGGUGUCUGAGGUCUGAGAAGACAGCGGCCACCGGAAAAGGUGCUAAUGUUUGCAGACCCCGAUCCAUCGACACCCCAAGGAAAUGCUGUGCACAAAAUUCCAAGAGGGCCUUUUCGAAUAGACGCAUGAACGGUGUUUGUGUCUGGAUCGUCCAGCCUCCCGGGAUCGAUUGGGAAUCUAGCUUCUGCUUGCCUUUCCAGCGCGACGCACAGUAGGAGCCUAAUAAAUGUUUGCUGAAUGAAUGCUGAAUAUCGAACUCAGAGCCGGGCACGACAGCUGCGGGCACAGGGAGCAAUCGCCUGGAGCCAGAGGGGGCAACGCCAGCCCAAGGGCAAAUGGGCAACCCUGUGCAAAAGGCUCUGGCAACCAGAUCAUCUACUUUAGAAGAAAGGAGAAGAAAAAGAGCCCCCAGGAGAGGAAGUAGCCCCUAACCCGACUGACAAGCAAUCCGUUCGCAAAGACAGAAGGGCCUUCAGUGAAUUGGUUUCAAAGUGCUUGAUUUCUUAAAACCAGAACAAUUGAUCAUUAGAGAACUGAUUAAGCUACAGCCGCUGUUGAAUAAAAGGUAAAAAUAAACUCCUUCAUUUGAAUUCCAAAUUCAGGCUUGGAGGUGACCUAGCCAUGAGGCAAACUGGCUGUGGGUGGACAGGGCUGCACACGGAGCUGGUGGGUGGACGUCACCUGAAGUCUUCUCUCCUCCCAAAGUGUGGGUGCUGGGACCCCAAGGGCACAGUGUGAAUGUCCCCAGCACUUAACACCAGGGUAGCCCAGGUACAGAGGCUGCUGAGGGGCUGGUGCAGGUUCUCCAAGGGCCACUGCUAUGCCCAGAAUGAGCCACUAGUUCUGGAUCAGGAGGAGCAGGGGGUGAGGAGGGGGGGGGGUCCCAAAGGAGAGACUGGUUCGGGGGCAGCUGCAAUUUACCAACGGGUACAGAAGUACUUUGACAUCUUAGCCGCAGGCACAGCCCUACCAGUGGGUACCAGCUGUUGUGACCAGAGAUGGCAGCAGUCAGAGCCAGUCCUGGGACCCAAUUUUUCCCCUCAUCUGUUACCUGGGGGGGUCACCAGGGCCUAAUGAAGACUUUUGAGGUUUCUCAGCCACAAAAGGAUCACGGUGCCUCUCCAUAUGGAAUUCAGCAGAACUCUCACCUUUUAAAACGGUCUAGUAGAUACUGAGUAGACACAAAAGGACAUUUACAAAAUAUGUGUAAGUGUAAAGAACAAUACAACAAACCUCUGUGUACUCACCACCAGCUUAGAAGAAAGGUAACGUUCCCUUUGAAGGACCUUGGGUGACCCUUCUCAUUGCCCCAUGUCCCCUACCCCCACUUCAGAGGUGACCUUCUGGAAUUUUGCAUAUACCACUCCUGUGUAUUUCUUUAUAGUUUCACCACCUUUGCAUCCCCAAACAAUAUAUUUUUUAGUUUUGCCUGUUUUGAAUUUUAUACAAAUGGAAUCAUACUGUCUGUAUUAUUCUGUAACCUGCCUUUCCGCUGAAUGUGGUAUUCCCGAGACGAAGAGCUGUAAUCCAUUCUUCCCGCAAGCAUUCUGUUCUGUUGUGGGAUUAAACUACAACUGAUCUCUGCAUC
This is a long non-coding RNA of Homo sapiens (human), 1783 nucleotides long. Lineage: Eukaryota; Metazoa; Chordata; Mammalia; Primates; Hominidae. The record is from Ensembl.